UGGGGAAUCUUAGACAAUGGGCGCAAGCCUGAUCUAGCCAUGCCGCGUGAGUGACGAAGGCCUUAGGGUCGUAAAGCUCUUUCGCCAGGGAUGAUAAUGACAGUACCUGGUAAAGAAACCCCGGCUAACUCCGUGCCAGCAGCCGCGGUAAUACGGAGGGGGUUAGCGUUGUUCGGAAUUACUGGGCGUAAAGCGCGCGUAGGCGGAUUAUUAAGUUAGGGGUGAAAUCCCGGGGCUCAACCCCGGAACUGCCUCUAAUACUGGUAGUCUUGAGUUCGAGAGAGGUGAGUGGAAUUCCGAGUGUAGAGGUGAAAUUCGUAGAUAUUCGGAGGAACACCAGUGGCGAAGGCGGCUCACUGGCUCGAUACUGACGCUGAGGUGCGAAAGUGUGGGGAGCAAACAGG
Molecule: ribosomal RNA, 404 nt
Filed under: uncultured bacterium
Lineage: Bacteria
Description: bacterial SSU rRNA
Rfam family: Bacterial small subunit ribosomal RNA
Source: RNAcentral